This 379-nucleotide ribosomal RNA is filed under the name uncultured bacterium. RNAcentral describes it as "bacterial SSU rRNA". It matches the Rfam family "Bacterial small subunit ribosomal RNA", at positions 917 to 1322 of the family's 1533-position model. The record is from RNAcentral.
GGGCCCGCACAAGCGGUGGAGCAUGUGGUUUAAUUCGAUGAUACGCGAGGAACCUUACCAAGGCUUAAAUGUAGAGGGACAGGCGGCGAAAGUUGCCCUUCUUCGGACUCUCUACAAGGUGCUGCAUGGUUGUCGUCAGCUCGUGCCGUGAGGUGUCGGGUUAAGUCCCAUAACGAGCGCAACCCCUAUCUUUAGUUGCCAGCGGUUCGGCCGGGGACUCUAAAGAAACUGCCCGCGCAAGCGGUGAGGAAGGUGGGGAUGACGUCAAAUCAUCACGGCCCUUACGUCUUGGGCUACACACGUGCUACAAUGGUAGUGACAAUGGGUUAAUCCCAAAAGCUAUCUCAGUUCGGAUUGUCGUCUGCAACUCGACGGCAUG